UUUCAGGUGCUGAGUUCUGCAUUUCGUGACACCAGUUAUGGAAUGGGUGACCUUAAUUGUCUACUGCAUGUUUCCUGGGCCGGAAUGCCAAUUGGAUAACAGGAGGGUCAUGGUUGCCCUGUGGACAGGUUGAUGGAAAGUUGUAAGCCAGGACUUGGCUGACGCAGAAGAAGACAUAGACUGCAAAAACUGAUUGAUCAUGAAAAGUAAACUUGCAAAGGACAGCACGCAUGCACUCUGAAGCCUACAGGAGAGGUGCUCACACUUACACCUCCCAUGGCUUUAUUGCCAUGCUUUAUUCAUUCAUUUCCUUAGUAUGCCCCAAUAGAUGAUGGUGGACACAAGCAUUUGAUGAUAGUUUCUUAACCAAUUUCUACCUCUUAAACAACUCCUGAAUAAUAAAAAACAAUAAAUUUUAUCUAUAGAGAUGAAAAGAUCUUAGAAAUUAUUUGAGGUAGUUCACCUUAAUGAGAAUGAGAAGGAAAAUAAGUUGCCCAAGGUCAUAGAGAUUUUAAGGCACAUAGAGUCUGUUUUAAGGUACGUAGAGUCUGUGUAUGCACAUUAUCUCAUUUAGUCUUCAUUGUGUCUCUGUGAGGUAGUCGUGGAAACUGGCAUAAUUGCUAUUUUAUUGAGGAGAAUGUUGAGUUUCAGAAAUUUUAAUACCCAACAUAAGAAGAAAAGUGAGGUAUAAAAUCAGGUCUUGAACUCAGAGCUUUAACUCCUCCUGCAAUAUUCUGUGGCCUCUGAGUUGUGCCCAGAAUGAGAAUUUUAAUAAACCCUGGCCUGUAUUAGCUUCCUACUAUUUUUACUAAACCAUUACUUUUUUUCCUUGAAUAAAACUUGGUAUGUUAGCUCACAAAAUCUGUUGUUCUAUUAUUCCAUGUUCUGUGUAAUUCUUACCAACAAACUUAUUAUUAUCAAUAAAGCAAACCAAAAAAA
Molecule: long non-coding RNA, 939 nt
Filed under: Homo sapiens (human)
Lineage: Eukaryota; Metazoa; Chordata; Mammalia; Primates; Hominidae
Description: HSALNT0111720
Source: RNAcentral